Tupaia belangeri chinensis (Chinese tree shrew) is the source of this 412-nucleotide long non-coding RNA. RefSeq lists it as uncharacterized. NCBI's taxonomy places the organism in Eukaryota, Metazoa, Chordata, Mammalia, Scandentia, Tupaiidae. The record is from RefSeq and is a predicted model, not a curated record. The transcript is spliced from 2 exons.
CUCCCAGGGACGCUGUUCGAGUGCUGGAAGAGACCGCUCCCAACCUGAAGCGGGAGAAAGUUUGAGGCUAGAGGCGGGUAAGGCGGCUGGAGCAUCCGCCUAAGUAGCCAGACAGAAAACUCCCGGCCCAAGCCAUGGUCUCUCCAAUCCAUCAUCCUUUCUCCAUCGCCAUGAUCUCAGCCAGAUCUUUGCAUCCUGAACAGAGGCAAGGAAUAAGAAGUGCCCAGCAGAUCCACUUGUAAGACUGGCCUUGACCCUCUGCUAGCAUCUCCAUUGGACAAGUUAUCUGUCAUUGUCCUCUGUGGACUCAGUCAGCACUCUUGGCCACCUCCAUCCAUGCACAAGAGAGAUGUCUGUGUAUCUUACAAACUCAUCAGGUUGUGUGGAUGUUCAACAAAGUGUUGGGACCACU